GGAUGCGAGGGCGAUCUGGCUGCGACAUCUGUCACCCCAUUGAUUGCCAGGGUUGAUUUGGCUCAUCUGGCUGGCUAGGCGGGCAUCCCCUUUCUCCCUCACCGCACCAUGCGCGUCCCUCCCGAAGCUGCGCGCUCGGUCAAAGAGGACGACCAUCCCUGAUAGAGGAGGACCGUUCUUUGGUCAAGGGUAUACGAGUAGCUGCGCUCCCCUGCUAGAAUCUCCAAACAAGUUCUCAAGGAAGAGUUAACUUAAUCUGGUCAGAGGUCAUGAGAAGGAUUCCCUGGCAAAUUAAAAAUAUAUUUAACUCAAGACCUGAAGUAUGAGUUAGCUAAGUU
Molecule: small nuclear RNA, 338 nt
Filed under: Tupaia belangeri chinensis (Chinese tree shrew)
Lineage: Eukaryota; Metazoa; Chordata; Mammalia; Scandentia; Tupaiidae
Description: Tupaia chinensis (Chinese tree shrew) 7SK RNA
Rfam family: 7SK RNA
About the family: 7SK was discovered as an abundant small nuclear RNA in the mid-70s but a possible function has only recently been suggested. Two independent studies have found that 7SK RNA binds the CDK9/cyclin T complex (known as elongation factor P-TEFb).
Source: Rfam by way of RNAcentral